AUAAGACUGGGAUAACUUCGGGAAACCGGAGCUAAUACCGGAUAAUAUUUUGAACCGCAUGGUUCAAAAGUGAAAGACGGUCUUGCUGUCACUUAUAGAUGGAUCCGCGCUGCAUUAGCUAGUUGGUAAGGUAACGGCUUACCAAGGCAACGAUGCAUAGCCGACCUGAGAGGGUGAUCGGCCACACUGGAACUGAGACACGGUCCAGACUCCUACGGGAGGCAGCAGUAGGGAAUCUUCCGCAAUGGGCGAAAGCCUGACGGAGCAACGCCGCGUGAGUGAUGAAGGUCUUCGGAUCGUAAAACUCUGUUAUUAGGGAAGAACAUAUGUGUAAGUAACUGUGCACAUCUUGACGGUACCUAAUCAGAAAGCCACGGCUAACUACGUGCCAGCAGCCGCGGUAAUACGUAGGUGGCAAGCGUUAUCCGGAAUUAUUGGGCGUAAAGCGCGCGUAGGCGGUUUUUUAAGUCUGAUGUGAAAGCCCACGGCUCAACCGUGGAGGGUCAUUGGAAACUGGAAAACUUGAGUGCAGAAGAGGAAAGUGGAAUUCCAUGUGUAGCGGUGAAAUGCGCAGAGAUAUGGAGGAACACCAGUGGCGAAGGCGACUUUCUGGUCUGUAACUGACGCUGAUGUGCGAAAGCGUGGGGAUCAAACAGGAUUAGAUACCCUGGUAGUCCACGCCGUAAACGAUGAGUGCUAAGUGUUAGGGGGUUUCCGCCCCUUAGUGCUGCAGCUAACGCAUUAAGCACUCCGCCUGGGGAGUACGACCGCAAGGUUGAAACUCAAAGGAAUUGACGGGGACCCGCACAAGCGGUGGAGCAUGUGGUUUAAUUCGAAGCAACGCGAAGAACCUUACCAAAUCUUGACAUCCUUUGACAACUCUAGAGAUAGAGCCUUCCCCUUCGGGGGACAAAGUGACAGGUGGUGCAUGGUUGUCGUCAGCUCGUGUCGUGAGAUGUUGGGUUAAGUCCCGCAACGAGCGCAACCCUUAAGCUUAGUUGCCAUCAUUAAGUUGGGCACUCUAAGUUGACUGCCGGUGACAAACCGGAGGAAGGUGGGGAUGACGUCAAAUCAUCAUGCCCCUUAUGAUUUGGGCUACACACGUGCUACAAUGGACA
RNAcentral lists this ribosomal RNA (1118 nucleotides) under Staphylococcus aureus. RNAcentral's name for it is "bacterial SSU rRNA". It matches the Rfam family "Bacterial small subunit ribosomal RNA", at positions 132 to 1236 of the family's 1533-position model. Lineage: Bacteria; Bacillati; Bacillota; Bacilli; Caryophanales; Staphylococcaceae. The record is from RNAcentral.